This 253-nucleotide ribosomal RNA is filed under the name uncultured bacterium. RNAcentral's name for it is "partial 16S ribosomal RNA". It matches the Rfam family "Bacterial small subunit ribosomal RNA", at positions 524 to 776 of the family's 1533-position model. The record is from RNAcentral.
UACGUAGGGUGCAAGCGUUGUCCGGAAUUAUUGGGCGUAAAGAGCUCGUAGGCGGUCUGUCGCGUCUGCUGUGAAAACUCAGGGCUUAACCCUGAGCUUGCAGUGGGUACGGGCAGACUAGAGUGAUGUAGGGGAGACUGGAAUUCCUGGUGUAGCGGUGAAAUGCGCAGAUAUCAGGAGGAAUACCGGUGGCGAAGGCGGCAUCCUGGACCGACAUUGACGCUGAGGAGCGAAAGCUAGGGGAGCAAACGGG